Molecule: non-coding RNA, 1403 nt
Organism: Callorhinus ursinus (northern fur seal)
Lineage: Eukaryota; Metazoa; Chordata; Mammalia; Carnivora; Otariidae
Source: the annotation of a RefSeq genome assembly
AAGUUAGCUUCAAAUUGAAGGCAUAGAUUUAAAGGGACUUGACCUCAAGGAGUGUCCAUACAACAGAAGAGUCAAGAAACAUGCAAACACAAAUGGGAGUCUUGCUGGGCCUCCUGUGGAUACAGAUUUGCUGGGUAAGAGUACAGAUGAAGGUGGAGCAGAGUCCUAGGGUCCUGAUCCUCCAAGAGGGCAGAAAUGCCUCUAUGAUAUGCAAUUACUCUACCUCCAUGACCAGUGUGCAGUGGUUCCAACAAAGCCCUGAAGGACGCUUCACAUCCUUGUCGUACAUUGCUUCUGGAAUGCAGCAAAAAGGAAGACUAAAAUUCACCGUCAAUAUCAAGGAACGUAACAGCCACCUGUAUAUCACGGACUCCCAGCCUUGGGACUCAGUCACUUAUUUCUGCGCUGAAGGCAGCCAAGGAAGGCUCAUCUUUGGAAAAGGCACUCAACUCUCUGUUAAACCAAAUGUCAAGGAGCCUGACCCCGCUGUGUACCAGCUGGGAGGCUCUAAGUCCAAUCAGAUCUCAGUCUGCCUGUUCACCGACUUUGAUUCUGAAACCAGUGUGCAAGAACCGCAGGGGCCUGCGGUGAUCAGCUUGAACAGUACGGUGCUGGACAUGAAGGUGAUGAAUUCCAAGAGCAACGCGGCCCUGGCCUGGGGCAACAGCACCGAUUUUAAAUGCAAUGGUACCUUCAAUGAGAAAUUCUUCUCCAGCUCCGACUUUUCCUGUGAUGCCACUUUGAUAGAGAAAAACUUUGAAACCGAUAUGAACCUAAACUUCCACAACCUGAUAGUGAUCGGGCUGCGCAUCCUCCUCCUGAAAGUGGCCGGGUUUAACCUGUUGAUGACGCUGCGGCUGUGGUCCCGCUGAGGUCACCAAGACCGUGAGAGAGCCCGGCACCCCCUCGCUCCCGACUCCCCACCCUACCUGCCUCCCCAGAGAGGCAGACUCUCUGCCCCCGUGGACAAGAAGGCUCCCUCCGCUUCUCUGGCCCCACUGGCAACAGCCAUCAACUGGAUCCCACCAGAUAGUCAUGAUCAAGAUGCUGAAGAGCUGCCGAACACUGCCUCCGCCCCCUCGGUUCCCUCCCUGCUGCUUGUCACGGGCCGGACACUCCGGCGAAGGCAGGGGGCUGCUACGGAGAGACACCCUGCCCCUACCCUGAGACCAACUCUUCCGUCCCCGGGGUGAGGGAUCCCCGGCGGGUCCUCUUGGCCUCUGCCUCCUGGAGAACAUUGUGAGGAGUUUGUAUUUUUUAAAUAGUGUUCAUCAGGAAAUAUGUAUCACCCUUUUUCCCCAAGAUGUGGGGGAAAGUAUUAUGGAGGCCCUGCUGUGCUGUGUGUCUGAGCCACGUUGUAUAUUCUGCUGCCCAUGGCUUCAUUAAAGGCAAUUUGAAAGAGC